CCCCCAGACCAGCAGCCUCAGCAUCACUGGGGAGCCUGUUAGAAAUGCAAGCUCGCAGGCCCCGCCCCACACCUACUGAAUCGAAACCUGCAUUUUAACAAGAUCCCAGGUGAUUUCAGUGCCUAUUAAAGUUUGAGAAGCCUGGGUCUGGGUCCGUGGUCCGCCCUCCGCAGCCCUGGCUGAACACUGGAAUCACCUGGGGAACUUUGCAAACACACACAGACUUUAGGGGGCUGGGGGCAACCUAGGCAUCAGAGGGGUUUGCUUCUGUUUUGUUUCGCGGUUUAGCUCCCUAGGUGAUUCUAAGGGGCAGCAACCUCUGAGACCCCUGUCAGGAAGAAGGGACAGGCUGAAGGCUGUGGAGGUAGAAGCCACCAGCGACUUGCCGUCCCCUCCCAAAGCACAGCGACGCAGUCGGGGGUGGGAGGCCGGGGAGACCCGGUGCCGGGGCAGUGCCCAGCCGGGUCUCCUUCCCGCCGGUGCGUGCGGCAGGGCAGAGACCGGCUGCGGAAGGACGAGGGCUGGGAGCCUCCUUCUCAAGAACCCCGACUGUCUGGACGCUGGGAGGCCGCUUCGGAUUGGGCCCACUGUCCUGUCCCAAAGGAGAUGCCUGCCAAAAGGAAGUAGAAGGCUCAAGUCAAGAGAAGACACAGGACUGAUUCAAGGCUGUGGGAGUUCUUGAGCUUUCUCCAUGGGCUCCCAUUUCAGAUGUGAGGGUUAGUGCAAACUCCCAUGGAUGAGCCUGCUGCAGAAUUUUAUAAAAAAUUCUCAAAUCUUCCUGGCCUCAAAUCUUCCUCCGUGAGUGGAUUUGGUGAUUUGGAAAUAAUUGAAGUCAUUUGGAAGUAAAUCUGGUGACCAAGGUCUCCUACAUGCUGUUAGCGCUCCACAGCUCCCGUCCUGUGAAUACCAGGCAGGAGCAGGCAGAGGGAGUGAGAAGCACUCAAACAAGUCAGGGCUACGUUCAAAUUCUGACUCCAGCAAUGACCAGUCAGUGAGACCCAGAGUACAUUACUUGAUCGCUCUGGGCCUCCAUGUACUCCUAGAGCGUUUGUGAGAAUGAAAAGGAAGAAAAUACCUGGUUUUCCUGAAAUAAAUUUGUGGUAGACCGUGCUAAUCCCCAUUCCUCUGAGACGGGGAAGGUUCUGGAGAAUGUGAAGAGCUUCUCUCACGGUCUCAGUUUGAUAAUGUCUUCAGAAGAAAUAGUACUACCAUGAGGAGGAGUCUUGACAUUUUGUGGCGGGCAAUAUGGAGCACUUACCAGUGCCCACCUAUUCCCGCUUCCUCAACCUGGCCGCCCACUGCCACCCACUUGCGGCCACUUGAGUUAUAGUCAUCGACAUCUCUUUGCCUUUCCUUCUCCCAGGUCAGCAAGCAGUCAAAAAGCAGGUGUGGUUGGUGCCACAAGAUGGACAAGAAUCCUCAACCCUAUGAGACAGACGCUGAGUGCGUCCAAAUUAUCAUGAAGUGGUCGUUAAAAAGAGAUCUCACUUCUUGCUUCUGACUAUUUUUGAGGAGACUUAUUAAUUGGCGUGAGUAAUGCUUUCCUUAUAGAUCUCAUAAAAUUUUACAUUUGUCUGUCUGUGUUUUCCACUGCUAAGUUUCGGGAGCCAGGACUUGUGUUGACCCCGUUCAGGACCCACGGCACCAACCCUGCAUUCACUGUGCUUCCUGAUCCAUCUGUCACAUAAAAAGGCUUGUCUCCUGGGUGCUCCUUUCCAAAGUUUCUCCUCCCGAUGUCAAGGACUGUGAAGAUGACUUAGGAUAGUUGUAUCAGGUGGGAGGAGAUAUAAGCUCUUACUAGACAUUUAGGAAUAGGUAACGAUCAGUCAAAAAUCGAAAUAAAUUAGGAUUCUCUGCCUUGGGUUUACUAGUGGAGGCUUCCUCUUCUCCCUGCUCCAUGGUCCUCUCUCGAAUUCUCUAAGCUGAAUUAGAGUUAGGGUUUGUGGGUUUCUCCU
This is a long non-coding RNA of Acinonyx jubatus (cheetah), 1955 nucleotides long. RefSeq lists it as uncharacterized. The record is from RefSeq and is a predicted model, not a curated record. The transcript is spliced from 5 exons. Lineage: Eukaryota; Metazoa; Chordata; Mammalia; Carnivora; Felidae.